CAUUAAAUCAAUUUAAUAAAUUAAGAUUAUCGUCUGCAACUGUUAUCUUUUCUUUAAUUUUGAAGGACUUGAGCGUCUUUCAUUUACCUACAUAAUUUCGUAAGCGGUUUUCCCGCUUUUAUUUGGUAUAAAAUUGCAUGCUUUUCGUGAUUUGUUCAUUGCGUGAUUUGAACUGAAGGAACACAAAACCCACCCUAUCCCACCCUUGAGAAUAUUUUCUGCUCUCUGUUGUAUAUUUUCAGAUAUCGUUAAAGAAGCGUCAUGGAUUGGACAGAAUAUAAACUGAAUAUAUUGAUUACUGAAUGGCUGAAUUUAUUACAGUUGGCGUCUGGUAGCCCAGUUGCCAUUUAAAGAAAACAUAUGAUGGUUGCCCUUCAAUGUUUUAAUCUUGGACAUUAAUGAGACAUUGUCGAUGAAUGCAAAUUCAUAGGCCGGUUGAUAUAUAGUUGAACUGUCCUAAUAAAUCCAUGACAAAAAAUUGCCAAAAUUCAAACUUACUAUUUGUUGUUUUUUAUUAUGAUUAUUAUUUAGUUUGUCUUACAAUUUAUCUUCAUUUGUAUAACGAAGGUAAUCUGGAGUCAUUGGAAAUAUUACGAGUGAUUUCAAUGGAUUUGGGUUAUCUUUUAUCUGGUAUAUCGAAUUCCUAAAUCUAUAUCUUUGGUUUCUUUCGAAUAUUUAAUAA
RNAcentral lists this long non-coding RNA (682 nucleotides) under Mytilus galloprovincialis (Mediterranean mussel). Lineage: Eukaryota; Metazoa; Mollusca; Bivalvia; Mytilida; Mytilidae. The record is from RNAcentral.